GGUAUCGCUGAUUGUGAACGCAAAUAAAUAGAGACAGAUAGAUGGCUUUACUUUAAGUGCUUUGUGCUUCGUUGAUCUGCAGUUCCGUGCGUGCGCGUCCAUGUGUGCGCUUGGAGGAACCGCCGAGUUUGGCGGGAGAGCAGUCCCCGAGGAGGCCGGUGGGACGAGGGGGCCCCGGACAUCUGGCUGCCGCUCCCUCCGUUACGCCGGAUGCUUCCGCUCUGCCCCGUCGGCCGGAGCUCUCCCAGACAGACUCGCUCUAAUCGCCCCGUUCUCAGGCCUUCGCCGGAUCGCUGUUACACGCACGCUGGGAACACGCCACGCCGAAGGCGCACGGAGCUUGGGGACUCGCGAGCGUGCGUACGUGACGUGCGCGACGUGUGGCGUGGCGACAUCGCCGGCUCUCUAGGCGGUUUGAUCUCCGAACGCCGAGCAGGUGUUUAAUAGGAUUCACGGGACUGUACGGAAUACCGUUCAAAAGUAUGAGUACACCUGGGCUACCUGGACAGUAUCUGAGUGAGGUGAACUGGAGAAAAAAAGUGAAAAGAGCAAUGUACAGGUGUCCUACAUCGCUGGGAAUUGUUCACCAAAUGCCUCAUCAACAACUAUUCAUAGAUAUAUAUAUAUAGAGUAUAGAAGGGGGGCAUGAUUUCAGGGUUUGACCGGGUUCUGCUUUCCGGUGGGUCUGGGGUUCGA
Long non-coding RNA from Scleropages formosus (Asian bonytongue), 696 nucleotides. RefSeq lists it as uncharacterized. Lineage: Eukaryota; Metazoa; Chordata; Actinopteri; Osteoglossiformes; Osteoglossidae. The record is from RefSeq and is a predicted model, not a curated record. The transcript is spliced from 3 exons.